Molecule: ribosomal RNA, 520 nt
Filed under: uncultured bacterium
Lineage: Bacteria
Description: bacterial SSU rRNA
Rfam family: Bacterial small subunit ribosomal RNA
Source: RNAcentral
AGAGUUUGAUCCUGGCUCAGGAUGAACGCUGGCGGCGUGCUUAACACAUGCAAGUCGAACGGACUUAUAUUGAAACCUAGUGAAAUAUAAGUUAGUGGCGGACGGGUGAGUAACGCGUGGAUAACCUGCCGUAUACAGGGGGAUAACACUUAGAAAUAGGUGCUAAUACCGCAUAAGCGCACAGCUUCGCAUGAAGCAGUGUGAAAAACUGAGGUGGUAUACGAUGGUUCCGCGUCUGAUUAGCUAGUUGGUGGGGUAAUGGCCUACCAAGGCGACGAUCAGUCGCCGGCCUGAGAGGGUGAACGGCCACAUUGGGACUGAGACACGGCCCAAACUCCUACGGGAGGCAGCAGUGGGGAAUAUUGCACAAUGGGGGAAACCCUGAUGCAGCGACGCCGCGUGAGUGAAGAAGUAUUUCGGUAUGUAAAGCUCUAUCAGCAGGGAAGAAAAACCGACCAUAGGGUCGCUAGACGGUACCUGAUUAAGAAGCCCCGGCUAACUACGUGCCAGCAGCCGCGGU